Molecule: non-coding RNA, 97 nt
Organism: Pelobates cultripes (western spadefoot toad)
Lineage: Eukaryota; Metazoa; Chordata; Amphibia; Anura; Pelobatidae
Source: the annotation of a GenBank genome assembly
GAAAAUUCCAGAGGAGGAACCUGACACAUGCAUCUCCUGAUGCCCAUUGAUGAGGACAUGAGGGGGAUAUAUGUCAGGUUCCCCCUCUGGAAUUUUA